Molecule: ribosomal RNA, 468 nt
Filed under: uncultured bacterium
Lineage: Bacteria
Description: partial 16S ribosomal RNA
Rfam family: Bacterial small subunit ribosomal RNA
Source: RNAcentral
GACGAACGCUGGCGGCGUGCUUAACACAUGCAAGUCGAACGGAAAGACCCUGCUUUGGUGGGGUGCUCGAGUGGCGAACGGGUGAGUAACACGUGAGUAACCUGCCCUUGACUUUGGGAUAACUUCAGGAAACUGGGGCUAAUACCGGAUAGGAGCUCCUGCUGCAUGGUGGGGGCUGGAUAGUUUCGGCGGUUGGGGAUGGACUCGCGGCGUAUCAGCUUGUUGGUGGGGUAGUGGCUUACCAAGGCUUUGACCGGUAGCCGGCCUGAGAGGGUGACCGGCCACAUUGGAACUGAGAUACGGCCCAGACUCCUACGGGAGGCAGCAGUGGGGAAUAUUACACAAUGGGCGGAAGCCUGAUGCAGCACCGCCGCGUGGGGGAUGACGGCCUUCGGGUUGUAUACCGCUUUCGCCUGUGACGAAGCGUGAGUGACGGUAAUGGGUAAAGAAGCACCGGCUAACUACGUG